UACAGAGGGUGCGAGCGUUGUCCGGAAUCACUGGGCGUAAAGGGCGCGUAGGUGGCGACCCAAGUCAAUGGUGAAAGCUCGAUGCUCAACAUCGAGUCGGCCACUGAUACUGGGUUGCUCGAGCACUGUAGAGGCAGAUGGAAUUCCGGGUGUAGCGGUGGAAUGCGUAGAGAUCCGGAAGAACACCGGUGGCGAAGGCGGCAUCCUGGACCGGCAUUGACGCUGAGGCGCGAAAGCUAGGGGAGCAAACGGG
RNAcentral lists this ribosomal RNA (253 nucleotides) under uncultured bacterium. RNAcentral describes it as "partial 16S ribosomal RNA". It matches the Rfam family "Bacterial small subunit ribosomal RNA", at positions 524 to 776 of the family's 1533-position model. The record is from RNAcentral.